ACUUGAGCCACACCACCACUUCUGACCAUUUUCUAUAUAUGUGGUGCUGAGGAAUUGAACCCAGGGCUUCAUGUAUGUGAGGCAAGCACUCUAUCACUGAGCCACAUUCCCAGCCCCACCUUACUAUUUUUCAGACAAGGUUUUGCCAACUUCUGGGCCAACCUGGGCCCACAAUCUUGCUGCUCAGGUUCUCAGACUCUAGUCCCAACCCUCCAGGAGUCCCUAUUAGUCCAGCCACUUGUCUGCAUAGGCCAAAAAAAUAAAUUAAGGAAGGGCUGAGAAUGGAGGUUUAUUACAGGGUGGCCCUGGGGGGGGGGGGCAGCACUUCUGUACAUCUUCAUCUUCAGGGUGGAGUCAGGGGUGUCGGGGGAAAGUUGGGGCAGUGGGUGAGGAAGGUGUGCAUAGUGAGAACAGUCCCGGGUCACAGGUGUUGACCAUCAGUUCAAUCUUUCUCUCUGGAGGAAUUCUGGAGAAGUUAUCAUCUUAUUCCUGGAGUGAAACCUGGGACACGUUGCCUGCUGAGUGGUCCCCUGGGCUUUGAGAUGAUAAGACUAUGGCAAUACUUGUUUCAGAAGCAGUUUUGCCCUCUAUCAUGUGUCACCAGAUGCUUAUCGGUGAGUCCUGUUCUUCCUGGAGUCCAAGGUGACUGCAACAGGGAAAGCUAAGAUCAAAGGGCACAAGACACUCUGUGUGUGUGUGUGUGUGUGUGUGUGUGUGUGUGUGUGUGUGUGUGUAGAGAGAGAGAGAGAGAGAAUAUCCACAUUUUAGUUAAUUCACAGGCCUUAAAAAAAAGCAUCUUUUAGGUUGCCUCAUACACUGUCCCCAACUCCCAAGGAGCUGGGAUGGCAAAUGUGCCCCAGAAUUUUAUAAUAUUGAACUAGUGUUAGGAGACCACAACCAUCCUUCAAAGGUAGAUCUAGA
This is a long non-coding RNA of Perognathus longimembris pacificus (Pacific pocket mouse), 921 nucleotides long. RefSeq lists it as uncharacterized. The transcript is spliced from 2 exons. The record is from RefSeq and is a predicted model, not a curated record. Lineage: Eukaryota; Metazoa; Chordata; Mammalia; Rodentia; Heteromyidae.